RNAcentral lists this transfer RNA (72 nucleotides) under Stegodyphus mimosarum. It matches the Rfam family "tRNA". Rfam says of the family: Transfer RNA (tRNA) molecules are approximately 80 nucleotides in length. Their secondary structure includes four short double-helical elements and three loops (D, anti-codon, and T loops). The record is from Rfam by way of RNAcentral. Lineage: Eukaryota; Metazoa; Arthropoda; Arachnida; Araneae; Eresidae.
GCCUUCGUGGUAUAAUGGUAGCACACUUGACAAGUACUCGAAUGGUCCAGGGUUCGAGUCCUGGUGAGGGCA